GACCAGACUCCUACGGGAGGCAGCAGUGAGGAAUAUUGGUCAAUGGGCGAGAGCCUGAACCAGCCAAGCCGCGUGAAGGAUGACGGCCCUACGGGUUGUAAACUCCUUUUGCCAGGGAGCAAUUGGGUCCACGCGUGGGCUUAGCGAGAGUACCUGAAGAAAAAGCAUAGGCUAACUCCGUGCCAGCAGCCGCGGUAAUACGGAGGAUGCGAGCGUUAUCCGGAUUUAUUGGGUUUAAAGGGUGCGUAGGCGGAAUAUCAAGUCAGCGGUAAAAAUUCGGGGCUCAACCCCGUCGUGCCGUUGAAACUGGCGCCCUUGAGUGAGGGAGAAGUAAGCGGAAUGCGUGGUGUAGCGGUGAAAUGCAUAGAUAUCACGCAGAACCCCGAUUGCGAAGGCAGCGUACCGGCGCCCAACUGACGCUGAAGCACGAAAGCGUGGGUAUCGAACAGGAUUAGAUACCCGAGUA
RNAcentral lists this ribosomal RNA (466 nucleotides) under uncultured bacterium. RNAcentral describes it as "bacterial SSU rRNA". It matches the Rfam family "Bacterial small subunit ribosomal RNA", at positions 329 to 792 of the family's 1533-position model. The record is from RNAcentral.